RNAcentral lists this transfer RNA (69 nucleotides) under Rasbora spilotaenia. RNAcentral describes it as "tRNA-Ser". Lineage: Eukaryota; Metazoa; Chordata; Actinopteri; Cypriniformes; Danionidae. The record is from RNAcentral.
GAGAAAGAACAGAAAAUAAUAAGUUCUGCUAAUACUUAUAAACCAUGGUUAAACUCCACGGCUUCCUCG